GACGAACGCUGGCGGCGUGCCUAAUACAUGCCAGUCGAACGAGAGCGACCGGUGCUUGCACUGGUCAAUCUAGUGGCGAACGGGUGAGUAACACGUGGGUAACCUGCCCAUCAGAGGGGGAUAACAUCCGGAAACGGAUGCUAAAACCGCAUAGGUCUUCGAGCCGCAUGGCUUGAAGAGGAAAAGAGGCGCAAGCUUCUGCUGAUGGAUGGACCCGCGGUGCAUUAGCUAGUUGGUGAGGUAACGGCUCACCAAGGCCGUGAUGCAUAGCCGGCCUGAGAGGGUGAUCGGCCACAUUGGGACUGAGACACGGCCCAAACUCCUACGGGAGGCAGCAGUAGGGAAUCUUCCGCAAUGGACGCAAGUCUGACGGAGCAACGCCGCGUGAGUGAAGAAGGUUUUCGGAUCGUAAAACUCUGUUGUUAGAGAAGAACAAGUGCUAGAGUAACUGUUAGCGCCUUGACGGUAUCUAACCAGAAAGCCACGGCUAACUACGUG
RNAcentral lists this ribosomal RNA (498 nucleotides) under uncultured bacterium. RNAcentral's name for it is "partial 16S ribosomal RNA". It matches the Rfam family "Bacterial small subunit ribosomal RNA", at positions 28 to 507 of the family's 1533-position model. The record is from RNAcentral.